UUCUGACGUGCAAAUCGAUAAUCUGAUCUGGGUAUAGGGGCGAAAGACUAAUCGAACCAUCUAGUAGCUGGUUCCUUCCGAAGUUUCCCUCAGGAUAGCAAGCGUACAUUUUUAGUUUCAUCCCGUAAAGCGAAUGAUUAGAGGCCUUGAGGCGUAUAUAGCCUCAACCUAUUCUCAAACUUUUAAUGGGUGUGAGUGUUCUUUCUCAAUUGAAGAACGCUGCUAAAUAAGUAUGCUUAGUGGGCCAUUUUUGGUAAGCAGAACUGGCGCUGUGGGUUGAACCAAUUGUUGAGUUAAAGUGCCUAAAGCUGGAAUGCGCAUGAGAUCUAUAAAGGGUGUUAGUUGCUGAAGACAGCAGGACGGUGGCCAUGGAAGUCGGAAUCCGCUAAGGAGUGUGUAACAACUCACCUGCC
RNAcentral lists this ribosomal RNA (413 nucleotides) under Ornithonyssus bacoti. Its description in RNAcentral is "partial 28S ribosomal RNA". It matches the Rfam family "Eukaryotic large subunit ribosomal RNA", at positions 884 to 1298 of the family's 3401-position model. Lineage: Eukaryota; Metazoa; Arthropoda; Arachnida; Mesostigmata; Macronyssidae. The record is from RNAcentral.